RNAcentral lists this ribosomal RNA (468 nucleotides) under uncultured bacterium. Its description in RNAcentral is "partial 16S ribosomal RNA". It matches the Rfam family "Bacterial small subunit ribosomal RNA", at positions 28 to 507 of the family's 1533-position model. The record is from RNAcentral.
GACGAACGCUGGCGGCGUGCUUAACACAUGCAAGUCGAACGGAAAGGCCCUGCUUUUGUUGGGUGCUCGUUUGGCGAACGGGUGAGUAUCACGUGAGUAACCUGCCCUUGACUUUGGGAUAACUUCAGGAAACUGGGUCUCAUACCGGAUAUGAUCUUCUGCUCCAUGGUGUUCGUUGGAUAGUUUCGGCGGUUGUGGAUCGACUCGCUGCUUAUGAGCUUGUUUGUGGGGUAGUUGCUUACCAAGGCUUUGACGGAUAGCCUGCCUGAGAGGGUGACCGGCGACAUGAGGACUGAGGUACGGAGCAGAAGGCAACGGGAGGCAGCAGGGGGGAAUAUUGCAGAAUGGGCGGAAGCCUGAUGCAGCAACGCCGCGUGCGGGAUGACGGCCUUCGGGUGGUGAACAGCUUUCGCCGGUGACGAAGAGUGAGUGACGGUAAUGAGUAAAAAAGCAACGGCUAACUACGUG